GAUGAACGCUAGCGGCAGGCUUAAUACAUGCAAGUCGUGGGGCAGCAUGAGUAGCAAUACUUGAUGGCGACCGGCAAAACGGGUGAGGAACACGUACACAACCUUCCUUCAAGCGGGGAAUAGCCCAGAGAAAUUUGGAUUAAUACCCCAUAAUAUAUUUGAUAAGGCAUCUUAUUAAUAUUAAAAGCUUCGGGCACUUGAUGAUGGGUGUGCGGCUGAUUAGAUAGUUGGCGGGGUAACGGCCCACCAAGUCUACGAUCAGUAGCUGAUGUGAGAGCAUGAUCAGCCACACGGGCACUGAGACACGGGCCCCGAUCCUACGGGAGGCAGCAGUAAGGAUAUUGGACAAUGGACGAAAGUCUGAUCCAGCCAUGCCGCGUGAAGGAUUAAGGUCCUCU
This 398-nucleotide ribosomal RNA is filed under the name uncultured bacterium. RNAcentral describes it as "bacterial SSU rRNA". It matches the Rfam family "Bacterial small subunit ribosomal RNA", at positions 28 to 420 of the family's 1533-position model. The record is from RNAcentral.